This is a long non-coding RNA of Zea mays, 1109 nucleotides long. RefSeq lists it as uncharacterized. The transcript has 3 exons. Lineage: Eukaryota; Viridiplantae; Streptophyta; Magnoliopsida; Poales; Poaceae. The record is from RefSeq and is a predicted model, not a curated record.
UCGCACCGCCCUCCCUCUGCUUGAAGCUGACAUUUCCCUGCUCCCUUAUCUCCCUCCCCCACACGGUGCUUGCCCCUGCUCCCUCCUUUCUGACUGUAAGGUUGCAAGCCUCGGUGCCAGCAAUUUCCUCGUUGGUCGAGCCCCUCCCUAUCACCAUCCUCGUCAUGGCGCCCUGGUGGUUGUCCUUGUCAGUCGUGCCUCUCCUGUGUGCUCGACUCGCCUGUGCCAUGUCUAACUCCUGUCUCCUCUCUAGCCCUGAUGUCGUCGCUGGUCCUCCCCACGCUAGAGAAGACCACCGUCGGUCCUCAUCCAUACAUCGAGUUCCCUCCUCUCAGUGCUCGAACUUCGCCUCCCUCUGAUCCCCCCCCCCCCCCCCCCCCCCACUCACCCCUUGCGCUCAUCGCUGCAGGAUCAUCAUCGUGGGCUUGGCUUUGCCAAGCCAUCAUCGCUCACCAUCUCGUUGAUGCCCUUUCUCUGUCUUCAUAUUCGUCAGCACCCUAGUCUUCUCUCUCUACACAACAAAUAGGUUACUGGACUCGCCAUGUUCUCUGGUCGAGUUUGACCCUCCUUGCUGACAGAUUUGUCGUCAUUCUGUAUGUCGUCGAGGAGCAACUCCUGGGAUGGUUGGGUGGAGAAGAAGAAAAGAAGCUCCAGCGCAUCGCACACCUGGUGCUCGACGUAAUGGUUGAAUCGAAAUCGUCGUCGUUUCCGUAGUCUGAUUUAGUUAUGGUACACUAGUUGAUCACGUGAUGUGGAGGACAAGAACCGAAUUGAUCUCAAAGUGAUGCUGGUCGAUGAACCUAACGAUGGAUGAUUCGAUCGAGUGCUAGGACGGGAGAUGGUCGUCAAGCGAGUAUCAUCUAACAACAUUAACAUAGUGUUUUAUCCUAGGCAAAUCUCGGUGCAUUCACCUCUUUCCUUGUUGUUUACCAAAAUUUUAUCAUCUUAUAUGAUGCAUUACGAUCGUGCUGAGGGCUAGAUGCACAGCAGUGGGCGACUCAUCGCGGACUCACUAUGACUAUCAUCAUUGACUUGUACAUCAUAAUGAUAUACUCGAUCCGUCCAAGACUGGACUAUCUAUUUUAAGUGUUAAAGUAGUCCAAGGAUAA